GAAAGUAAGAUUAAUACCCGGCGGUCUCGGACGGCCGCAUGACUGUCCGAGUGAAGAUUUAUCGGUAUGAGAUGGCGAUGCGUCCCAUUAGCUUGUUGGUGAGGUAACGGCUCACCAAGGCAUCGAUGGGUAGGGGUUCUGAGAGGAAGGUCCCCCACAUUGGAACUGAGACACGGUCCAAACUCCUACGGGAGGCAGCAGUGAGGAAUAUUGGUCAAUGGACGAAAGUCUGAACCAGCCAAGUAGCGUGCAGGAUGACGGCCCUCUGGGUUGUAAACUGCUUUUAGUUGGGAAUAAAAAGAGGGACGUGUCCCUUAUUGUAUGUACCAUCAGAAAAAGGACCGGCUAAUUCCGUGCCAGCAGCCGCGGUAAUACGGAAGGUCCAGGCGUUAUCCGGAUUUAUUGGGUUUAAAGGGAGCGCAGGCGGCGGCGUAAGUCAGUUGUGAAAUCGUGCGGCUUAACCGUGCAAUUGCAGUUGAUACUGCGUCGCUUGAGUGCACACAGGGAUGUUGGAAUUCAUGGUGUAGCGGUGAAAUGCUUAGAUAUCAUGAAGAACUCCGAUCGCGAAGGCAUAUGUCCGGAGUGCAACUGACGCUGAGGCUCGAAAGUGUGGGUAUCAAACAGGAUUAGAUACCCUGGUAGUCCACACAGUAAACGAUGAAUACUCGCGGUUGGUUCGUUAGAAUCAGCCGC
RNAcentral lists this ribosomal RNA (693 nucleotides) under uncultured bacterium. RNAcentral's name for it is "bacterial SSU rRNA". It matches the Rfam family "Bacterial small subunit ribosomal RNA", at positions 153 to 847 of the family's 1533-position model. The record is from RNAcentral.